Non-coding RNA from Bos taurus (domestic cattle), 73 nucleotides. Lineage: Eukaryota; Metazoa; Chordata; Mammalia; Artiodactyla; Bovidae. The record is from Rfam.
UCCCUGGCAGUCCAAAGGUCAGGACUCUGCACUUCCACUGCAAGGGGCACAGGUUCGAUCCCUGGUCAGUGAA